Molecule: ribosomal RNA, 492 nt
Filed under: uncultured bacterium
Lineage: Bacteria
Description: partial 16S ribosomal RNA
Rfam family: Bacterial small subunit ribosomal RNA
Source: RNAcentral
AGUGAAUGCUGGCGGUAGGCCUAACACAUGCAAGUCGAACGGCAGCACAGUAAGAGCUUGCUCUUACGGGUGGCGAGUGGCGGACGGGUGAGGAAUAGAUCGGAAUCUACUUUUUCGUGGGGGAUAACGUAGGGAAACUUACGCUAAUACCGCAUACGACCUACGGGUGAAAGCAGGGGAUCUUCGGCACUUGCGCGAUUGAAUGAGCCGAUGUCGGAUUAGCUAGUUGGCGGGGUAAAGGCCCACCAAGGCGACGAUCCGUAGCUGGUCUGAGAGGAUGAUCAGCCACACUGUAACUGAGACACGGUCCAGACUCCUACGGGAGGCAGCAGUGGGGAAUAUUGGACAAUGGGCGCAAGCCUGAUCCAGCCAUACCGCGUGGGUGAAGAAGGCCUUCGGGUUGUAAAGCCCUUUUGUUGGGAAAGAAAAGCAGCAGGUUAAUACCCCGCUGUUCUGACGGUACCCAAAGAAUAAGCACCGGCUAACUUCGUG